UAGAGUUUGAUUAUGGCUCAGAACGAACGCUGGCGGCAUGCCUAACACAUGCAAGUCGAACGAGACCUUCGGGUCUAGUGGCGCACGGGUGCGUAACGCGUGGGAAUCUGCCCUUGGGUUCGGAAUAACUCGCCGAAAGGCGUGCUAAUACCGGAUGAUGUCGUAAGACCAAAGAUUUAUCGCCCAGGGAUGAGCCCGCGUAAGAUUAGGUAGUUGGUGAGGUAAAGGCUCACCAAGCCGACGAUCUUUAGCUGGUCUGAGAGGAUGAUCAGCCACACUGGGACUGAGACACGGCCCAGACUCCUACGGGAGGCAGCAGUGGGGAAUAUUGGACAAUGGGCGAAAGCCUGAUCCAGCAAUGCCGCGUGAGUGAUGAAGGCCUUAGGGUUGUAAAGCUCUUUUACCCGGGAUGAUAAUGACAGUACCGGGAGAAUAAGCUCCGGCUAACUCCGUGCCAGCAGCCGCGGUAAU
RNAcentral lists this ribosomal RNA (471 nucleotides) under uncultured Alphaproteobacteria bacterium. Its description in RNAcentral is "bacterial SSU rRNA". It matches the Rfam family "Bacterial small subunit ribosomal RNA", at positions 1 to 524 of the family's 1533-position model. Lineage: Bacteria; Pseudomonadati; Pseudomonadota; Alphaproteobacteria. The record is from RNAcentral.